UACGUAGGCAGCAAGCGUUUGUUCGGAAUUACUGGGCGUAAAGAGUGUGUAGGCGGUGCUCUAAGUUCGGUGUGAAAUCUCCUGCUUAACUGGGAGGGUGCGCCGAAAACUGGAGUGCUCGAGCGUGGGAGAGGAAAGCGGAAUUCCUGGUGUAGCGGUGAAAUGCGUAGAUAUCAGGAGGAACACCUGUGGUGUAGACAGCUUUUCUGGACCAUUGCUGACGCUGAUGCGCGAAAGCUAGGGGGAGC
Molecule: ribosomal RNA, 248 nt
Filed under: uncultured bacterium
Lineage: Bacteria
Description: partial 16S ribosomal RNA
Rfam family: Bacterial small subunit ribosomal RNA
Source: RNAcentral